Molecule: long non-coding RNA, 1174 nt
Filed under: Heterocephalus glaber (naked mole-rat)
Lineage: Eukaryota; Metazoa; Chordata; Mammalia; Rodentia; Bathyergidae
Description: lncRNA (ENSHGLG00100048099.1)
Source: RNAcentral
AUGGGGGGGAGCGUUCUUCAGGUGAAAACAUUUCCCAUCGUUGUGUGGGGAAAGGGAAGUUGCGAAUGUUCAAAUGAUAACUCCUAUGAAGCCCCAGGAUUGUAUUUAAAAAUACCUUUUGGUGGACAGUGCCUCUUUUUGAUCUUUGCCUGUUGGCUUGGUUGUUCCCAUCCUCUCUCAUUUUAGCCUAGUUCUCCUUUUAUCCAGGUUGUGUGCAUUUUUGUUUGUUUGUCUGCUUUUUCUUUUGAACUAUUGCUUAUCAGAAUGGUGAUGUUAUCUCAAAAUCCCGAAACCAAGGGGCUAGCCAGUGCACAGGACUUGAGGUAGAUGCAGGAUUUGGAUUGAUGUAGGUUACAGGUUAAGUGCUUCCAGAAAUAUACUUUAUUGAGGCAUAACAGAGCUCUAAAGAAGUCGUGUUUGUUUAUAACAUUUGGAGAAGUCACCUCUCAUAGGUCUCUGUUCUUGAGAGAGAAAUUCAUCGUUUCAUGCAAAUAACAUUGAUGGGCAUACAUCAUAAUCUGGUGAUUGGCUUCUAUCAGUGAAUAUAUAAGGUUUCAAUCACGGUAUCUUAUAAAGAGCAUAAUCUUAUCAAUUUCUCCUUCUUUCUGAGAGCAUAUUGAAAAAAAUGUUUCUGAUGUGCUAUGAAACAUUUCUUUGAAUCCAUGUUUUUGACCAAGGAAGUGGCUGAGAUGUUAAACCAGGAGGUGGUGACAUGGCUUGUAUGACUCCCCACUCACUCCCUCAAAAGGAAAAUGAAAUUGGGAAAUUAAGGUGAACUUGAACUCCUCUGGUCAUGAGGAGCACUCACUUUGAUUUCCUAUCUCAGGAUAUUUUUCAGUUUCAUACUGCUGCUGAGGAGGAAAGAACCAGCUGCUGACACUGUAGCUGGUCCCCAGAUGUUUGUGUGUGUGUAUGUACAACUUCACACCCUAUGUGUUGUGUUCAAUGUAAUGUCAAUCUAUGAACUGACUCAAAUAACCAUUUCGGUAUCAAGAAGAAAGUGAUAAUGGCAAACAAACAAAAACAAACAAACAAAAACACCCGACCACCUCUUUCUCUCAAAGUGCUUGCUAUGACUUUCGUAGCUGGGACAAACCAUAUCAGCAUUCAGGAACAAGGUGUCCGUGAAAGAGAUGGUGUGUUGAUCUCAUAAGAAAUGUACAACCAAUAAAAG